Diceros bicornis minor is the source of this 354-nucleotide non-coding RNA. The record is from the annotation of a RefSeq genome assembly. NCBI's taxonomy places the organism in Eukaryota, Metazoa, Chordata, Mammalia, Perissodactyla, Rhinocerotidae.
AUGGCCUGGAGCCCUCUCCUCCUCAGCAUCCUUGCUCACUGCACAGGCUCUGUGGUCUCCUAUGAGCUGACACAGCCACCCUCAGUGACGGUGGCCCUGGGACAGUUGGCCAGGAUCACCUGUGGGGGAAGCAAUAUUGGAAGAAAAUAUGCUCAGUGGUACCAGCAGAAGCCAGGCCAGACCCCUGUGCUGGUCAUCUAUGAUAGCAACAACAGGACCUCCAGGAUCCCUGACCAAUUCUCAGGUUCCAACUCGGGGAACACAGCCACCCUGACCAUCAGUGGGUCCCAGGCUGGGGACGAGCCUGACUAUUACUGUGCUAUAGCUGGUGGCAGUGGGAGCAGCUGGCAGUGA